RNAcentral lists this ribosomal RNA (266 nucleotides) under uncultured bacterium. RNAcentral's name for it is "partial 16S ribosomal RNA". It matches the Rfam family "Bacterial small subunit ribosomal RNA", at positions 793 to 1055 of the family's 1533-position model. The record is from RNAcentral.
GUCCACGCCGUAAACGAUGGAUGCUAGAUGUCGCGGGUAUUGACCCCUGCGGCGUCGAAGUUAACGCAUUAAGCAUCCCGCCUGGGGAGUACGGCCGCAAGGUUAAAACUCAAAGGAAUUGACGGGGGCCCCGCACAAGCGGUGGAGCAUGUGGUUCAAUUCGACGCAACGCGCAGAACCUUACCUGGGUUAAAUCCACUCGAAUCCCGCAGAGAUGUAGGAGUGCUCGCAAGAGAGCGAGUGAGAAGGUGCUGCAUGGCUGUCGU